This is an RNA transcript of Carassius carassius (crucian carp), 2100 nucleotides long. RefSeq lists it as uncharacterized. NCBI's taxonomy places the organism in Eukaryota, Metazoa, Chordata, Actinopteri, Cypriniformes, Cyprinidae. The record is from RefSeq and is a predicted model, not a curated record. The transcript has 4 exons.
AAAUAGAGCAAUGGCUCGACCAGUGAAACUUAGAGUAAUUUUAGCUGAUGAUGAUGCCAGGAAGUUGAUCCUGCCUGAAGGGCUUCCUAGUACUACUGAGGACCUUGCACAAAAAAUCACUGAAAUGUUCCAGCUUGAUGGGGAUAUCCGCUUGCAAUAUCAAGAUGACGAUUUUGGUGGUGAGUUUGUGAAUUUAACAACAAUUACUGAUGUUCAAGAUAAAGGAACCUUAAAGGUCAUCAUCAAGACUACAGGACAAAACCAGAGUGCAGCAUCAACUCCUGCUCGCUUAAUGCUGUGCCAGGCAGACGACUCUGUAUCUGUAUCUUCAUUUGAAACUGACGACACUGUUCUUCUUUCUUCUCCUGAUGGGUCAGUGCAAUCCACAACAAGAUCUACUCCAUGGCCACUUGUAUUCCCAAUUCCACGCUUCUCCUAUGACUCUGAAAUAAUUCUACAGCAAGCUAAUACUGAAUACCAUGAGAACGGAAAUCGUCUCAAUCCGUCUCCAAAGCUGAAGUCACACAUUCUAGAAGUCCUAGCUGAGGAAAUCAUAAAAUACAAAGCAUAUCCAACUGAUCUAGACCUUAACACAGUGGCAGAAGCAUUAAUUAAUAAACACCCUUGCUUGCGAGAACAAGGCUCCUACAAUGGUUGCUAUGGGUGGAAAAUAAGCCUCAAAUAUAAGAUGGCAAACUUUCGUACUAAGCUCAGAAGUGUUGGGUGUUCAGAAGUAAGCAUAAACUCAAUGAAGAACAAACGCCAAGAUCAGUACCAUGCUGCUUCAAACAUUAAAAAGCCUAGAAGAGCCGAAGUAAAUUACUGCCCUCAACAUCCAAAGGGAGAAACGUCUGAAAGUUUAGAGAGGGAACGAGUCGAUCUUUUGGCUGCGAUUAAGAAGAGAAACAAUGACAAAUUAGUCAAAGAGAAGAUGGAGUGAACCUUUUCUUACAGAAGACAGGAAGUGGUUCAGGAGAAGCCGAUGAUAGCGGAUUUCAAAAGUCGAUGGCCAGCUCUUUUUAAUGUUGAUGAAAUAAAUACUGAGUUCUUGCGCAUCACCACUGUCCCAUUGGAAUUUAACUUUCUUGCUAUGCUUGACCAGUAUUCGGACAGCUUGAUGAAGUUGUUUCAGAGUAAGGGUGGAGUCACUGGCAGAACAAUUAAAAACAUCAUGCAACCCAUUUCACAGAAUAACAGCAUAGAUGUGCGAAGAGAAUGCAUCCUCAAAGCACUGUGUGUUUACUUAAAUGAGGACCAUUUACAGCUGUUCAAGGAGUACAAUGAUUGCGACUGGGUGAAUGCCAAAGAAGCCAUAGAGCAGAUGGUAAUGGGGAUCUACAUCAUCCGAUCCGAAGGACACCAUCCAGGGGAUAAGCCUGUGGACGUUGGUAUCGUGAUUGAAGGGACUGAAGUUCUCUGCUCUUUGAAAAAUGUAGCUGUAGCAGUGGCCAUGCUGUUUGGACUUACUUACGCAUUGAACCUCAGCUACCCACGAGAACUCAAAGCUACAUUUGAGGUCAUCCAGAAAGUGUUGUUUAACUUGGAUGGACAAAAACUUUCACCAAAGGUACAAGCCCUCAAGAACAAGAUGCUGGAGUAAGUUCCUUUACGUUUGAAGUCUCAAAAGACGAAAUCUUGAUUCAAGAAGUUAGUAGCUGUGGCCUGCCCAUUGCUGUUGCAGUAUGCCCACUGUUUGUUUAGUGUUUGACAUGUUUUUGUCAAAACCUUUAAAAUGCAGGGAACUUUAAAACUGCUGUUUGAUCUAAUUGAUCUUGUCAAUCUUUUAACUUUUUUAUUAUUUUUAUCUUGUUCUAAGAUAUACUAGCUUUCAAAUUGUAGCUCAAAACUAAGCACAUGUUGGUGUUUUUGUAUUUCUCACAGUAUUAAAAUUGAAUUGUCAGUUUUGCAUCGACAGUGGUUGACAAUUACUUGCAAAAGCAGGAUUUUUUUUUGGGAUGGUAGUUAAAAAAAAAUAUUUUCUAAAGUAUCCGUCAACUUGUAUCUCAACAUUGUUUUUGUUGAUUGUUUAUCAGAUUUUUUUUUGUCUUAAAAUUUGGCAAUGGUAAAAUGUUUUAGAGGAAAAAUUUCCUUGAAAUAAGA